Molecule: long non-coding RNA, 327 nt
Organism: Hemicordylus capensis (graceful crag lizard)
Lineage: Eukaryota; Metazoa; Chordata; Lepidosauria; Squamata; Cordylidae
Exons: 2
Source: RefSeq, a predicted model, not a curated record
UAGUAAAUACAUUGGUACCCAGUACUGCAGCAAGAAAUGCAGAGACAAAAUAAUUUUUAAUAAUAUAGUCAAAACCUGUUUCCACUUUUAAGGACCAGAUGGCUAAUCGUUAUCAGUAUGCGAAGACUCUCACCAGCUCUGUCAUUAACAUGGAAAGAAACCUUGGUUAGUCUGCCUGUGCACAACAUCCCUGAACCUCUGUGAACCAAAGAUUUGAACUGGUUGAUUCUCUAUAGCGGAACACCUCAGGACUGCGUACAACUUCCUCCAUGCCCGCAUGAGCAUCUACUUCCAAUAUAGGUUAAAAUAAACCAAGAUCAAUUGCUA